UCGAGAUGCUCUGCAAGCUGC
RNAcentral lists this unclassified non-coding RNA (21 nucleotides) under Chlamydomonas reinhardtii. Its description in RNAcentral is "small RNA Cre_2633". The record is from RNAcentral. Lineage: Eukaryota; Viridiplantae; Chlorophyta; Chlorophyceae; Chlamydomonadales; Chlamydomonadaceae.